This is a long non-coding RNA of Nannospalax galili (Upper Galilee mountains blind mole rat), 350 nucleotides long. RefSeq lists it as uncharacterized. NCBI's taxonomy places the organism in Eukaryota, Metazoa, Chordata, Mammalia, Rodentia, Spalacidae. The transcript is spliced from 3 exons. The record is from RefSeq and is a predicted model, not a curated record.
CUACUUGUAAUUUACAGAGUUGCAUACCUCAGAGCUUCAAAGACAGGAUGGGCCUAUUACAUACAAAGUCAGGGACCUCGAUGGAUUUGGACCCAAGGCACUGAAGGAGUCCUUUGUAUGGUCCAGCUAUUGUGAAAAGAACAGUAACAAACAUGAUUGUACAAGUAUCUCUGGAGUAGGAUGAGUCCUUUGGAUAUAUGCCAAGGAGUGGAAUGGAUGACUGCAUGUGAUGCUCAGCAGUGCCUCACUGUGACGUAACCAGGAUCUGGACAACAAACUGCCAUUGUGACUUUAGAACACACACCUUUCUGCUGUGGAUUCCAGGCUCUGUUUCAUCAUGCAAUUUCUUU